RNAcentral lists this ribosomal RNA (253 nucleotides) under uncultured bacterium. RNAcentral describes it as "partial 16S ribosomal RNA". It matches the Rfam family "Bacterial small subunit ribosomal RNA", at positions 524 to 776 of the family's 1533-position model. The record is from RNAcentral.
UACGUAGGGUGCAAGCGUUAAUCGGAAUUACUGGGCGUAAAGCGUGCGCAGGCGGCUUUGCAAGACAGAUGUGAAAUCCCCGGGCUCAACCUGGGAACUGCAUUUGUGACUGCAUGGCUAGAGUACGGUAGAGGGGGAUAGAAUUCCGCGUGUAGCAGUGAAAUGCGUAGAUAUGCGGAGGAACACCGAUGGCGAAGGCAAUCCCCUGGACCUGUACUGACGCUCAUGCACGAAAGCGUGGGGAGCAAACAGG